UUUCCGUAGGUGAACCUGCGGAAGGAUCAUUAAAGAGUAAGGGUCUUCGGGCCCGAUCUCCAACCCUUUGUUUAACUACCAUGUUGCUUUGGCGGGCCCGUCUCACGACCGCCGGAAGUUUGGCUUCGACCAAACUUCUGGCCCGUGCCCGUCAGUGGCCCCUUCAAAUUCUUGAUCAAGUAUGAUGUCUUAGUUAAAAACUUAAUAGUUAAAACUUUCAACAACGGAUCUCUUGGGUCUG
This 241-nucleotide unclassified non-coding RNA is filed under the name plant metagenome. Its description in RNAcentral is "partial contains small subunit ribosomal RNA, internal transcribed spacer 1, and 5.8S ribosomal RNA". The record is from RNAcentral.